GUGAGGAAUAUUGGUCAAUGGGCGGGAGCCUGAACCAGCCAAGUCGCGUGAAGGAAGAAGGAUCUAUGGUUCGUAAACUUCUUUUGCAGGGGAAUAAAGUGCAGGACGUGUCCUGUUUUGUAUGUACCCUGAGAAUAAGGAUCGGCUAACUCCGUGCCAGCAGCCGCGGUAAUACGGAGGAUCCGAGCGUUAUCCGGAUUUAUUGGGUUUAAAGGGUGCGUGGUGGAUUGAUAAGUCAGCGGUGAAAGUUUGCAGCUUAACUGUAAAAAUGCCGUUGAAACUGUCGGACUUGAGUGUAAAUGAGGUAGGCGGAAUGCGUGGUGUAGCGGUGAAAUGCAUAGAUAUCACGCAGAACUCCGAUUGCGAAGGCAGCUUACUAAGCUACAACUGACACUGAAGCACGAAAGCGUGGGGAUCAAACAGGAUUAGAUACCCCUGUAGUCC
Molecule: ribosomal RNA, 444 nt
Filed under: uncultured bacterium
Lineage: Bacteria
Description: partial 16S ribosomal RNA
Rfam family: Bacterial small subunit ribosomal RNA
Source: RNAcentral